AUUGCGUCGUCCCCUCACGGGCCUUAGGGUGGGUGGGGGCGGAAGUUGGCUUCCCGUGCAUUGUUUGCGGCUAGCCUGAAACACGGUUCCCUCGCCGCGGGCGUCGCGACCAGUGGUGGUCGUCGAGAUUGCACGCGAGUUGCCGGCAAGCUGCGUCGAGGAGAGCAUUUGGACCCUGUCCGUGCGAGAUGAGCCCUUCGCCGAGGGGCAAUUCCAACGAUUGCGACCCCAGGUCAGGC
This 239-nucleotide ribosomal RNA is filed under the name Cynanchum floribundum. RNAcentral describes it as "partial 26S ribosomal RNA". The record is from RNAcentral. Lineage: Eukaryota; Viridiplantae; Streptophyta; Magnoliopsida; Gentianales; Apocynaceae.